Molecule: long non-coding RNA, 596 nt
Organism: Gorilla gorilla gorilla (western lowland gorilla)
Lineage: Eukaryota; Metazoa; Chordata; Mammalia; Primates; Hominidae
Exons: 3
Source: RefSeq, a predicted model, not a curated record
GCUGGUCUGGAACUCCUGGGCUCAAGCAAUCCGCCUGCCUUGGCCUCCGAAUGCUGGGAUUACAGGCAUGAGCCACUGCCCCCAGCCAGUCAUCACUACUUUGGAGUCUCCACAACUAGCCAGGAGUCAAAAAAUUUGGCCAAAGAAGCCCCAGAACCCAGAGGAAUUGAACAUUCUUCUGCAGGACAUUGAUCCGCUGUAGGAACCAGUUCAUGAACCACAUAAUGGAAGACCAGCUCCGUGUGAGAGAGUUCCAUGGUUCGCCAGAUAAAGUCCCGAAGCCCUACAGGGCCAUAGAUUUCAAUAGGCUGUUUGGACACCACGGAGCCACUCUGCAGGCUGAUUGUGCAGAGGAGCCCAGGAAGGCCAAAGAAAUGGUCUCCAUGAAGUACACCUUGCCACCUCAACUCCUACUGUCUAAAAUGUUAACUAUCAAGUCUCUACUCUGGCCUGUGCCUGUCCGGAGGGCUCUCAUGAAGGUUCUCAUGAAAGGAAUCUCUGUACGAUCCAAGAAAAGCAAAGAAUAGCACCUGAAUUAUCUCAAAGUUUCAACACAAGACAGUAUAUAAUUACGGUUCAAUUGUACUUACCUGAAG